Molecule: ribosomal RNA, 367 nt
Filed under: Cryptocercus habaensis
Lineage: Eukaryota; Metazoa; Arthropoda; Insecta; Blattodea; Cryptocercidae
Description: partial 16S large subunit ribosomal RNA
Rfam family: Archaeal large subunit ribosomal RNA (bases 1-184)
Source: RNAcentral
CUCUUCUUGAGUAUAAUAUGAUGUAUGGCCUGCCCACUGAGUGUUGAAGGGCCGCGGUAUUUUGACCGUGCAAAGGUAGCAUAAUCAUUAGUCUUUUAAUUGUAGGCUGGAAUGAAUGGUUUGACGAGGUGAUAACUGUCUUUAAUUUUUUUAUUGAAUUUAAAUUUUAGGUUAAAAUGCCUAAAUGUUUUUUUGGGACGAGAAGACCCUAUAGAGUUUUAUACAUUUUUAUUUUUUUGUUUGUAAUUUUUUAAUGUAAAAAUUUAUUUUGUUGGGGUGAUGGGAAGAUAAAUUUAACUCUUUUUGAUUUUUUAUAUUUAUUUAUAUGUAUUUGAUCCAUUUUUAUUGAUUAUAAGACUAAAUUACC